UACGUAGGGUGCAAGCGUUGUUCGGAGUUACUGGGCGUAAAGGGUGCGUAGGCGGCUUCUUAAGUCUGGUGUGAAAUCUCCCGGCUCAACUGGGAGGGUGCGCCGGAUACUGAGGGGCUAGAGUGUGGGAGAGGAAAGUGGAAUUCCUGGUGUAGCGGUGAAAUGCGUAGAUAUCAGGAGGAACACCGGUGGUGUAAACGGCUUUCUGGACCAUAACUGACGCUGAGGCACGAAAGCGUGGGUAGCAAACAGG
RNAcentral lists this ribosomal RNA (253 nucleotides) under uncultured bacterium. Its description in RNAcentral is "partial 16S ribosomal RNA". It matches the Rfam family "Bacterial small subunit ribosomal RNA", at positions 524 to 776 of the family's 1533-position model. The record is from RNAcentral.